Molecule: long non-coding RNA, 966 nt
Organism: Empidonax traillii (willow flycatcher)
Lineage: Eukaryota; Metazoa; Chordata; Aves; Passeriformes; Tyrannidae
Exons: 3
Source: RefSeq, a predicted model, not a curated record
AAGCCUAAGGAACGCAAACCAACAGGGUCAAAGCUCUUCUAUAGGAAAAUGACUCUAAUACGAAGUAGUAUUUUAGGAAAAGCUGUGCUGAAUAUUUUCAGGCCACCAAAGCAUGUGAUCUGACAUACUGCUGGCAGAGAUCAGCCUGCAGUUGGAGCUUGGAUGGGAUGAGAAGCCUGGUGCUCUGCUGACACUAAUGCUGUCACUGCACGUUGGUCAGGACUCUGCUCGGGUGUCAAAAGGUUCUUUGGUUCUCAGAUUCGGGCUCUGAGCAAGUGUAUAGCUCCAGGAUGAGGCUGCUAAAACUUUCUCAUGCUACUUCAACUCACAGAUUUCUUUCUGAGACAAAUACUUGAACAGUUUUCAUCUAGUAAGUGAACCUGAAAUACGAACAAGUCAGCAGCAGCCACCACCUGUGCACGAUCCACAAAAGGAGUGCCUGACUGCGAGGGAUCAGUAUCCAAGCUGAUAUGGGAUCAGUGUGACUAUAAUAACAGUGGUUGGCAUAUUAGAGUUCAGUCUUAUUUUUCUAAACAAACACCUUAAAAUAAAACUAUGUGAUGCAGUCCACUCAUGUUGCAAAGGAGCAACUUACCCUUCAAGAUUAAUCUAAAGCGGUAAUAUGUGUACAAGCACAUCUUUGGGCCUAGCAAAUAUCUAUGAUGAGAAAGUCACGCUGCAAUAAAAUAUUUCUGAAACAGGUAAGCAGCUGUGGCAUUGUGUGUGAGAUGGGCUGUGUGAGAUGGAUAGUGCUUCCUGAAUUACUUCAAUGGCUUCUGUGUGAUUCAUCUGUCUCAAAGCAGCGAUCAACUCCUGAACUGUACCACCAGAAACCUAAGAGAGAAGACACCAGAUGCUCACCAUCAACCAGGCUGGCUAAAACCGUCCAGAAGGACAGUGUUCUCUACACGUCUGAAAGUUCUUUAUAACUUGUUACAGCCACAUUACCUCAUAGUUAUCUAGCAG